UCUUAGAUGACUGAGUAAUAAGUAAUAGAUUUUUAAUCUAAAAACGGCAAAUUUGUUUGCCUCUAAGAG
RNAcentral lists this transfer RNA (69 nucleotides) under Brunneifusus ternatanus. RNAcentral's name for it is "tRNA-Lys". Lineage: Eukaryota; Metazoa; Mollusca; Gastropoda; Neogastropoda; Melongenidae. The record is from RNAcentral.